AAAUUGAAGAGUUUGAUCAUGGCUCAGAUUGAACGCUGGCGGCAGGCCUAACACAUGCAAGUCGAACGGUAGCACAGAGAGCUUGCUCUCGGGUGACGAGUGGCGGACGGGUGAGUAAUGUCUGGGAAACUGCCCGAUGGAGGGGGAUAACUACUGGAAACGGUAGCUAAUACCGCAUAACGUCGCAAGACCAAAGUGGGGGACCUUCGGGCCUCACACCAUCGGAUGUGCCCAGAUGGGAUUAGCUAGUAGGUGGGGUAACGGCUCACCUAGGCGACGAUCCCUAGCUGGUCUGAGAGGAUGACCAGCCACACUGGAACUGAGACACGGUCCAGACUCCUACGGGAGGCAGCAGUGGGGAAUAUUGCACAAUGGGCGCAAGCCUGAUGCAGCCAUGCCGCGUGUAUGAAGAAGGCCUUCGGGUUGUAAAGUACUUUCAGCGAGGAGGAAGGCGUUGUGGUUAAUAACCACAGCGAUUGACGUUACUCGCAGAAGAAGCACCGGCUAACUCCGUGCCAGCAGCCGCGGUAAUACGGAGGGUGCAAGCGUUAAUCGGAAUUACUGGGCGUAAAGCGCACGCAGGCGGUUUGUUAAGUCAGAUGUGAAAUCCCCGGGCUCAACCUGGGAACUGCAUUUGAAACUGGCAAGCUUGAGUCUCGUAGAGGGGGGUAGAAUUCCAGGUGUAGCGGUGAAAUGCGUAGAGAUCUGGAGGAAUACCGGUGGCGAAGGCGGCCCCCUGGACAAAGAC
RNAcentral lists this ribosomal RNA (748 nucleotides) under Salmonella enterica subsp. enterica serovar Kentucky. RNAcentral's name for it is "bacterial SSU rRNA". It matches the Rfam family "Bacterial small subunit ribosomal RNA", at positions 1 to 740 of the family's 1533-position model. Lineage: Bacteria; Pseudomonadati; Pseudomonadota; Gammaproteobacteria; Enterobacterales; Enterobacteriaceae. The record is from RNAcentral.